GAUGAACGCUGGCGGCGUGCCUAAUACAUGCAAGUCGAGCGAACAGACGAGGAGCUUGCUCCUCUGACGUUAGCGGCGGACGGGUGAGUAACACGUGGAUAACCUACCUAUAAGACUGGGAUAACUUCGGGAAACCGGAGCUAAUACCGGAUAAUAUAUUGAACCGCAUGGUUCAAUAGUGAAAGACGGUUUUGCUGUCACUUAUAGAUGGAUCCGCGCCGCAUUAGCUAGUUGGUAAGGUAACGGCUUACCAAGGCAACGAUGCGUAGCCGACCUGAGAGGGGGAUCGGCCACCCCGGAACUGAGACACGGUCCAGACUCCUACGGGAGGCAGCAGUAGGGAAUCUUCCGCAAUGGGCGAAAGCCUGACGGAGCAACGCCGCGUGAGUGAUGAAGGUCUUCGGAUCGUAAAACUCUGUUAUUAGGGAAGAACAAAUGUGUAAGUAACUAUGCACGUCUUGACGGUACCUAAUCAGAAAGCCACGGCUAACUACGUG
This 497-nucleotide ribosomal RNA is filed under the name uncultured bacterium. RNAcentral describes it as "partial 16S ribosomal RNA". It matches the Rfam family "Bacterial small subunit ribosomal RNA", at positions 28 to 507 of the family's 1533-position model. The record is from RNAcentral.